AUGGUGGCUCGGUCUACUGGAAACUGCAUAAGGGUACGCCCAGGUCAUCUCUUGUGCUUGUGGUUUUUGAAACAGAACAAUGAUGAUUCGGGUUUCAGUACACAGCUCUUUCAUGAAGAUCAAUUUCAGAGCAUGCAUAAAAUAGGUGCUCUAAGCACAGAACAUUCGAGUAGUGCUUCCCUUCGGUUCAUGCAUUCUAGACCAUAUGAACUAGUCUGCUGUGGUGAAAUCAAUUGUCCAUUAUUCAGUACACUUGACCUUUGCAUGGAUAAAAAUUCACUCAAUAUUUUUAUGCUGCCUUGUGAGACUUUGCUGGACACGGGAUGUCGCUAUCACAUGGUGCAUGGUGAAAUAGAUCCAAAAAUGUUGCAACCAUCAUGUAUUCAUUGUGAUCAGUCAACAGGUUACUUUGAGAGUGGCUCUGCUCGAGCAUAUCUGAAAUUGGAUGAAACUUAUGCUGCUGUUGUUCACGAGUGCGCGCAGAGAACUUCUCAAGACUGGGGUAUGCUACUCUCUUUCAAUCAGAGACCACCUGGUGUGUAUUUUGGACUAAUGGCAAAUCUGCGUACUCCUGCUCUAUCUGUAGAUGCUUCAUUGCAGCCGUCGGUGAUUCCCACUUAUGCAAGCAUACAGAUUGGUAACACUCAAUGCAAGUGCGUGUGCACUACCCCAGGCUUAUUUGGCAAAUGGUUAGAGAAGUCUGGGAGCAGUAAAAACAGCAAGGUUGUCUGGCAAACAUCUAUGGAAUAUUUUUGGAGAAUGUGUGCUAAUCAGGCCCUAAAUAUGCCAUUUCUAAUUAGCCUCAUGAGUAACUCAUGCUCAGCUGGAGGGAUCAUAUUCACCUCAUGUGAUCCUUUUAAUUCUUUGAGAAAUGGUGACCAGCUUAACAGUCGGGAGAGCACCACGGCUACUUAUACGUUGGCAUUAACCACUUCCAUUCAGUUCAUGUCCUCUGUGGGAGUUGAGCGCUCGCAUUCAUCUAGUGAUCAAGGUGCAGGCAAAGGUACUGACAAGAAAAAAAAAUCUGCUGACUGCUCCGUAUGA
Molecule: ribosomal RNA, 1044 nt
Filed under: Triticum aestivum (bread wheat)
Lineage: Eukaryota; Viridiplantae; Streptophyta; Magnoliopsida; Poales; Poaceae
Description: partial small subunit ribosomal RNA
Source: RNAcentral